Molecule: non-coding RNA, 311 nt
Organism: Schizosaccharomyces pombe (fission yeast)
Lineage: Eukaryota; Fungi; Ascomycota; Schizosaccharomycetes; Schizosaccharomycetales; Schizosaccharomycetaceae
Source: the annotation of a GenBank genome assembly
ACCAACAGUAAUUACGAAGAAUCAUUAAGUUGAAGAGAUUCUUCUGAGUCGGAUUCAGAGCUAUCUUCAAUUGGGUUUCCCGUAGCAUCUGUAAGAUGAAUGGUUUCUAUUUGAGGAGAUUCUGCGUUUGCGUCUAAUGUAUCAUUCACUUCUUCGAGGUCCUCCACAUCAUCAAUAUUUUGCUCAACUUCAUUUUGUGCUAUAUCCUCCGCAAUUCGUUCUUCUUCUAAUUCGUCUUUUUCUUCAUCUAGAGGAGUAGUGUCAUGCGCGUCUAUUUUGGCUUUCUUUCUGUUAUCAACAUCUGAUACGUU